This 66-nucleotide transfer RNA is filed under the name Polycheles baccatus. RNAcentral's name for it is "tRNA-Leu". RNAcentral also lists the same sequence under 1 other name. The record is from RNAcentral. Lineage: Eukaryota; Metazoa; Arthropoda; Malacostraca; Decapoda; Polychelidae.
UCUAAAGUGGCAGAAAGAAUGCUUAGGGUUUAAGCCUCUACUAGGAAGUUUUAUCUUCCUUUAGAA